AUACGUAGGUGACAAGCGUUAUCCGGAUUUACUGGGCGUAAAGGGCGUGUAGGCGGUCUUGCAAGUCAGAAGUGAAAUUCCUGAGCUCAACUCGGGCGCUGCUUCUGAAACUGCAGGACUUGAGUGCUGGAGGGGAUAGCGGAAUUCCUAGUGGAGCGGUAAAAUGCGCAGAUAUUAGGAAGAACACCGGUGGCGAAGGCGGCUAUCUGGACAGUAACUGACGCUGAGGCGCGAAAGCGUGGGGAGCAAACAGGAUUAGAUACCCGGGUAGUCCACGCCGUAAACGAUGAAUACUAGGUGUAGGGGGUAUCGACUCCCUCUGUGCCGCAGUUAACACAAUAAGCAUUCCGCCUGGGGAGUACGGCCGCAAGGUUGAAACUCAAAUGAAUUGACGGGG
This 397-nucleotide ribosomal RNA is filed under the name uncultured bacterium. RNAcentral's name for it is "partial 16S ribosomal RNA". It matches the Rfam family "Bacterial small subunit ribosomal RNA", at positions 523 to 918 of the family's 1533-position model. The record is from RNAcentral.